CUGCUGUUACAGACAGCCCUGGGUUCCAAUGAAAAGUCCCACAAUGACUGUGCUCUUCUUCCCCCAAAUGCACAGAUUCUCCCACCAUGUCAUACAGUGGCCUCCAGGGGAUGGAAGAGAGGUGGCACCAUCUGGUCAAGACUGUCUUUUCUCCAGUGCUUUUUUCUGUGACAAGAAAUUCAAAUCAGACUUCAUCUAAGACCUACAAGUGACUUCAAGGACAUCCGGAGUAUCUGGGAUGAAUGAAGAAUUAAAGACAACUGUGGGAGAAGUCAGGACAAGAAGGCCUAUAGCACCAAUUGAAGUCUUUCCUGAGAGUAAGAGCUUGCUCACAGAGAAAAGUAAGAAAAUCCCAACCUGCAGUUAAGAUUAUCUUGAGGAUAAAUGAUACCGAGUGACUGCUGUCGGUAUGCUGCAGCAAACACCAGUGAAACUAAUUUAGAGGAAGAAUUUUAAUCAGAAGGAGAUUAUGAACUAAAAAGUUUGAGUUUUGAAUAUAAAAGAGAAAAAGCAAAUUGUAAUUUCAUGUGCCAAAUGUAAUAGAGAGUAAAUUGGAAGUUAAACAGAGAAAGGUAUGGCAGGCAUUGGAGGUAAUGUUUUAAGAAGCAGAGAGAGUUGAAAAAAUAAUAAUAUAAAAACACAUACCAGAAGCCAAUGAACUGGCUGCUUCUUCUGUACUGUAAGUUUCUGUUUCUAUACUUGUAUGCAUAUCUCUUCCC
RNAcentral lists this long non-coding RNA (719 nucleotides) under Callithrix jacchus (white-tufted-ear marmoset). RNAcentral describes it as "lncRNA (ENSCJAG00000086500.1)". Lineage: Eukaryota; Metazoa; Chordata; Mammalia; Primates; Cebidae. The record is from RNAcentral.